This 169-nucleotide unclassified non-coding RNA is filed under the name soil metagenome. Its description in RNAcentral is "partial contains 5.8S ribosomal RNA, internal transcribed spacer 2, and large subunit ribosomal RNA". The record is from RNAcentral.
AAGACUAUAGACCUGCGGAGUACCUGCGGAGGGAUCAUUAGUGAACGCCCUCACGGGCUUAUAACUAUUCCAAACCUCUGUGAACCGUGCCCUUCGGGGCUAUUUUACAAACAUGGUGUAAUGAACGUCAUACAUCAUAACAAAACAAAACUUUUAGCAAUGGAUCUCU